Molecule: ribosomal RNA, 2674 nt
Filed under: Triticum aestivum (bread wheat)
Lineage: Eukaryota; Viridiplantae; Streptophyta; Magnoliopsida; Poales; Poaceae
Description: partial small subunit ribosomal RNA
Source: RNAcentral
CUUGCCCGGUUCGGACAAUCGACCAGGUUCCCCGGUCGGGUACAUGUACUACUACCCUCCCGAGGAUUGUCUUUGACUCGGCUGUAUAGAAAAAUCUAAAUGCUUCAGUAAUAUCCCCGGAGAAUCAGUUGCCCUCACAGAGGAGAGUGACUUACGCGUAUCGGUUUUUAGGAUUUUAUUUAAGUCUUGUUAUGAUUAUAGUCCUGAAUUUGGACCAUCCGACUGGUGUCUAACGAAAACACACAUGUCGUGUGUUUUAACUUACCAGUUUUUACGACUCCUGCACUCUCUGAGCCAAAUCUGAAUGAUCAAAACAACGUGCACGUGUGACUGCUCACACUGGUGCGUCGCCAGUCAAUGAUGGGCUAGGGGGCGACGGGCAGUGUCCAGAAGGAGCGGCGUCGGAGCGCCGCCGCGCGGCCGCGAGGAAGCGACUGCAGCGCAGGGCGCAGCGGCUUGCGGGAGGUGGGGCUUGCUCGAAUCGGAAUCUACACGGCGUGGUUUCGGGCGCAGCUCGGCGCACGGGUUCGUGACCUUGUUUGGGAUUGAGGAUGGGGGCGUAGGUUCUACCAGCGGGUUGCCGUUGCGAGGUCAAGUACAUCGUCGGCGGCGGUGGAGCGGCCGAGAGAGUACAAGGAGCGCUGCUGGCGGAAGCGCGAGGAGGAGGAGGGGGCGAGCAGCGGGGAGUCGAUACUGUAGCAAUAACUGCGGCCGUCGUGCCCCUCGGCGCAGGUGCAGUAGUGGAUGGUGCGCCCACGCGAGGGCGUCGACCUAACCAGCGCGUGCAGCAGUGACUUCCGGUGGGGACCAAACAGGAGCAAGCGUCGGCUGGGUCCGUCGCCCCCGGACAGCUAGCGGGGCGACAACCUCAAGCGUUCCGCCGUACACGGCGCCCUAUUAACCCAAGUGUGGCUCCACGCUGAGUACCGGUGCCGGCCUCAGGCAGACGAACUACAGUGCUGACGACUUCGCCAGUACCUCAGUACGUCCUUCGACGAAGCCCUCAGUCCGAAGGCAAAGGUCCUAGUCACCCGGUGAUACUAGAGUCCUCGACUACUUCCCUAAAUACGUACCCAACGCCGUUUAAUACGUAACCCAUGAGAGCCACCACGAUCUGUUCUAUGAUGACCCUAUUAACUCGAACCACCCCGAAGAUAAGUCUAUUGCAAGCGGUGGCUAUUUGGAUACGGAGGCCUCAAGAGGGUGCACAAGUUCAAGCCGCUAUAGUGUAUAUUGGACAUGUCGGUGUCAAAAGAUGUAGAACCAGUCUUACAUCGUAUACUUAGUGAGGUACUAAACGACUCGUGUGGACGGGAAUUUAGUUACAGGUGUGUAAAUUAAGUACUUCGAUGUAUGUCUCUAGGAACGUGGGGUUCCCCUAAAAGCGGGUACCGCCCUGGUCAAUUUCAAGGACGAUCACAAGAGCUCAGGUUCCGACUGAUGUUUGGAAAACGAGUACGCCAACCAUUGAAGAGACUCACAUCUAGACACCACUCUUGUAAUAACGUCUUUCCUGUUCUCCUUACAUAUAUAGUACUAACAGCAGACCCUCGUCGUAAACAUGGUCUGGACCUUCCUUUUAAGAAUCGUUGGCUCUUAAAGAUGGUAUGGAACUUCAAGAAACCCGAGGCAAGCUUCAGAAAAGAAAGACUAAACUACGACCGACCUCUGGUUAAAACGGUACCCCUAACCAGUAGUUUGUAAUUUUCCCUCGUGACAAGAAAGUUACUCCCCCUUGACGAGGAAAAAACGAAGAGGAGCCGCAUAUAACACCGGAAUGACGUACUAUGAGAUUUUCACGGGUACCUAGUAUUCUUGUAACUACAAUGUUUAGUUUAAGCCCCACACGGUCAACUGACCCGUAACCCGCGAAAGUAACACGUCUUUUUGAUUUAACCUAUCUCAUGAAUCUAGGUAGUCAAAGUAUAGAUUUGAUGAUGCAUACCGAAAGGACCCAACCGCGGUGAAUAGAAGUAAUUAUGGCACCAGUAUAAAUGUCACACGAGGUAGGACUUCGGCUCUUCUAGAGCGGAGUUCUGUUAUAUCCUGUACCUCUCUCCGGCCGUGUACUAUUGUUCCCAGUCGGCUACUCGGAACGCGGACCAGCGACCCUCAACAAGGACGCUACCUCGUCGUCACUAGCGUAUACAUUUAUAAGGACUGGACAGAAAAAUGGUCACCUGUAACAUACUAAGGCUGUACGACGGGACGACUUGUCCUGGCUCACAUUCGUUGGGAAAACACUCGUAUCAACGAAUUACGUCAGUGACCACGUAGUGCGUACCCAACAACUUUAAGGCUGUGCGACGGGACGACUUGUCCUGGCUCACAUUCUAGUUACUGAACCCAAACGACGUCAUGAACACUCGUAUCAACGAAUUACGAGAUAAAUCAUGAGGGAGGCAGGGUUUUAUAUUCUAGUAAAAAAAUAUGAUUCUAUCACAGUUUUUACUAGAAUAUAAAAACCUACCUCAUGGUAUAAUAAUGAACAUUACAUCAACCUUCAAAACACAACAACUUUAGAAACUUUAUGCGACUUAUGAGAACCCAGUAGAGGCUUUGUUCUGGUUAAAAAGUACACAUACAAACAAUGAUGGACGUUUGGUUAAAACCGGUAGGAAAAAUAGAACGUGCUUUUAACCAAUAUAGUGCAGACAUAUAGUUUUAAAACAUU